GGUGGUGCAUGGUUGUCGUCAGCUCGUGUCGUGAGAUGUUGGGUUAAGUCCCGCAACCGAGCGCAACCCUCGUCCUAUGUUGCCAGCACGUAAUGGUGGGAACUCAUGGGAGACUUCCGGGGUCAACUCGGAGGAAGGUGGGGAUGACGUCAAAUCAUCAUGCCCCUUAUGUCUUGGGCUUCACGCAUGCUACAAUGGCCAGUACAAAGGGCUGCAAUACCGUAAGGUGGAGCGAAUCCCAAAAAGCUGGUCUCAGUUCGGAUUGAGGUCUGCAACUCGACCUCAUGAAGUCGGAGUCGCUAGUAAUCGCA
RNAcentral lists this ribosomal RNA (311 nucleotides) under uncultured Actinomycetes bacterium. RNAcentral's name for it is "bacterial SSU rRNA". It matches the Rfam family "Bacterial small subunit ribosomal RNA", at positions 1037 to 1346 of the family's 1533-position model. Lineage: Bacteria; Bacillati; Actinomycetota; Actinomycetes. The record is from RNAcentral.